AGAUUGAACGCUGGCGGCAUGCUUUACACAUGCAAGUCGAACGGGGUGGUGGGGCAACCUGCCAUUCAGUGGCGAACGGGUGAGUAAUACAUCGGAACGUGUCCCGUAGUGGGGGAUAACCCGGCGAAAGCCGGACUAAUACCGCAUAUGCUCUACGGAGGAAAGCGGGGGACCUGAAAGGGCCUCGCGCUAUGGGAGCGGCCGAUGUCCGAUUAGCUUGUUGGUGAGGUAAUGGCUCACCAAGGCGACGAUCGGUAGCUGGUCUGAGAGGAUGAUCAGCCACACUGGACUGAGACACGGCCCAGAC
Molecule: ribosomal RNA, 307 nt
Filed under: uncultured soil bacterium
Lineage: Bacteria
Description: bacterial SSU rRNA
Rfam family: Bacterial small subunit ribosomal RNA
Source: RNAcentral